RNAcentral lists this ribosomal RNA (440 nucleotides) under uncultured bacterium. RNAcentral describes it as "partial 16S ribosomal RNA". It matches the Rfam family "Bacterial small subunit ribosomal RNA", at positions 338 to 795 of the family's 1533-position model. The record is from RNAcentral.
CCUACGGGAGGCAGCAGUGGGGAAUAUUGCACAAUGGGGGAAACCCUGAUGCAGCGACGCCGCGUGAGUGAAGAAGUAUUUCGGUAUGUAAAGCUCUAUCAGCAGGGAAGAAAAUGACGGUACCUGAUUAAGAAGCCCCGGCUAACUACGUGCCAGCAGCCGCGGGAAUACGUAGGGGGCAAGCGUUAUCCGGAUUUACUGGGUGUAAAGGGAGCGUAGACGGCAGCACAAGUCUGGAGUGAAAUGCCGGGGCUUAACCCCGGAACUACUGUGGAAACUGUGCAGCUAGAGUGCAGGAGAGGUAAGUGGAAUUCCUAGUGUAGCGGUGAAAUGCGUAGAUAUUAGGAGGAACACCAGUGGCGAAGGCGGCUUACUGGACUGUAACUGACGUUGAGGCUCGAAAGCGUGGGGAGCAAACAGGAUUAGAUACCCCUGUAGUC